GACGAACGCUGGCGGCGUGCUUAACACAUGCAAGUCGAACGGAAAGGCCCUGCUUUUGUGGGGUGCUCGAGUGGCGAACGGGUGAGUAACACGUGAGUAACCUGCCCUUGACUUUGGGAUAACCUCAGGAAACUGGGGCUAAUACCGUAUAGGAGCUCCUGCUGCAUGGUGGGGGUUGGAAAGUUUCGGCGGUUGGGGAUGGACUCGCGGCUUAUCAGCUUGUUGGUUGGGUAGUGGCUUACCAAGCCUUUGACGGGUAGCCGGCCUGAGAGGGUGACCGGCGACAAUGGGCCUGAGAUACGGCCCAGUCUCCAACGGGAGGCAGCAGUGGGGAAUAUUGCACAGUGGGAGGAAGCCUGAUGCAGAGGCGCCGCGUGCGGGAUGACGGCCUUCGGGUUGUAAACCGCUGUAGCCUGUGACGAAGCGUGAGUGACGGUAAUGGGUAAAGAAGCACCGGCUAACUACGUG
RNAcentral lists this ribosomal RNA (468 nucleotides) under uncultured bacterium. RNAcentral describes it as "partial 16S ribosomal RNA". It matches the Rfam family "Bacterial small subunit ribosomal RNA", at positions 28 to 507 of the family's 1533-position model. The record is from RNAcentral.